AUGACCUAACCAAUCUCUGCUCUGACCUACCAGAGCCCCAAUCCCUGCUCAUUAAAAAUCUUCUCUAGUCUACCGCGCUACGCCAGCUGCUGCCGAGCGUCGUUGCCGACGCCUCACGGCCCAAACCCUAACCCACCUCUCACGCGCGUCGCCGCCACCAUCGCCGUUCCCAUUCCACCUCGUCACGUCCCUGCCGUAUUCACCCUGUCCGAAACCUUGGACAUUGGUUUCUGAAGGUAGGAGCUUUUGGAUCAUCCAGCGAUUACUUAAUCCCAAGCUAACUAUUCUCCACAAAUUUCCAUCUAGAUCCGCUUUUGGUUUGGUAACAGAGGUGGAUUUACAUUGGUUCGAUGUUCAUUUCUUAUGCUGCUUUCAGGCCACCAGGUUACCUAGAAUCAUCAUGUCAGGAAGAGAUCGCCUGCCGCGCCGUUUUGUCGAAGAUGGAAGGGGCUAUGUUGACGCCCGUGUGGCUGAGGAUCGCAGGGGUCAUCAUCCUGGUAUCCGAGUGGUUGAUGAUCGUAGGGGCCAUCAUGAGAUCCAUGUAGUCGAUGAUCGCAGAGCCUAUCCUGCAGGUCGUGUGAUUGAGGAUCGUAGAGCCUACCCUGAGAUUCACGAAAGGCCGCUCAUGAGGGUGGCUCCUCGCUCUCACCCGGAUGUCCUAGAGGAAGAAAUUCAGUUGCACAAGGUUGAUUUCCGCAGGCUUAUGGCUGAUCGUCAUGCUCUAGCUGAGGAACGGAUGGAGUUGCACAGGGAGUUGCAAGCCGGAAAGGAGGAGGUCUGUCACCUUAACAUGAUCAUCGCAGAGAUUAAUGCCAAGAAGGAAGCUUAUAUCAGCGAGCUCGUUGACAAGAGAAGGAAGCUUGAAGCUGAACUUAGAUCAAAUGAGCCUUUGAGAGAUGAGGUUGUGCAUCUUCGUGGUGAAAUCGAGAAGCUCCUUGCUGUUAGGAAAGAACUCUCUGCAAAGGCUGCAUCACUCAUGCAGGAGCUGAGUAGGGAGAGAUCUGAUAAACAACAGUUACCUAUGCUGAAAGCAGAGAUUGAGGGCCUUCAACUGGAACUUACUCAUGCAAGGUACACACACCAUCUCUUUUGCUGGACCUGACUCAGUUAUCCCAGUAAAUUGUUUGGGGACUGGAAACUUCGAGUAUCAUUGGUUUCUAUAAUUGUAUUGUUUGCAGGAAUGCAUGUGAAUUGGAGCAGAAGGGGAAUUUCGAGUUGGUGGAACAAAGGAAAGCAAUGGAGAAGAGUAUGAUUUCGAUGGCACAAGAAAUUCAACAAAUGCGGGCCGAAUUAGCUAAUUUUGAUGGCAGACCAUGGGGCACAGGUAUGUUAUUGGGAUCUUCUACAGUGUUUGUAAAUUUCAGUUAUCCAUUCUACAUAUUUUCCUUUUUCACUGUCAUAUUUUUUCUGGAUUUGAAGUUGUACAUGCACAUAUGGUAGGGUUCUGUAUUAUCAGCAAUCCUGAGUUAGGAAUCUGCUAUCUGCCAGCACUUUGCAUGGGUUUCUAAGAAAGAGGACAUCAGCCAAUUACUUAAUUUGUUUGGAGAUGCUAGUUGUCAAUUAAUAUUGGAAACGCAUUGAUGCUACUACUGAACAUAUUAUGCGUGCCAGUGUGAACUUCUGGAUUGACACAUUGCAAANNNNNNNNNNNNNNNNNNNNNNNNNNNNNNNNNNNNNNNNNNNNNNNNNNNNNNNNNNNNNNNNNNNNNNNNNNNNNNNNNNNNNNNNNNNNNNNNNNNNNNNNNNNNNNNNNNNNNNNNNNNNNNNNNNNNNNNNNNNNNNNNNNNNNNNNNNNNNNNNNNNNNNNNNNNNNNNNNNNNNNNNNNNNNNNNNNNNNNNNNNNNNNNNNNNNNNNNNNNNNNNNNNNNNNNNNNNNNNNNNNNNNNNNNNNNNNNNNNNNNNNNNNNNNNNNNNNNNNNNNNNNNNNNNNNNNNNNNNNNNNNNNNNNNNNNNNNGGGAUGACAGAGAUGCCGCUAGUGUGGUACUGUUGCACAUGAGACAGGGGGAGGGCAAAAGGCCAUCCUAUUUUCUUCCUUGCCUUGAUAGAUUGCCUGCUUAGAGCAUCUCCAACAGCUCCCCAUUCCCCAAUAAUUUCCUGGUAUUGGGGGAGUUGAGCCAAAAACUCUGCUCCAACAGCUUCCCUUUCCCCAAUAAAUUAUUGGUGAUCACUAAUAAAACAACCCAUCUUUCCCUAAAUGGAGGGCGAGUUGGCCCUCUCCCAAUAUGAUCCCCUAUACUGCGAUGUCAGCGCUCCGCUAAAUGGCCACUGGACCACUGCUGCCGCCGCUCAGCUGCCACGGUGCAGACUGCCGCCGCUGCUGACGGACCAUCGCCGAACAGCCGCCCCGCCGCUGUUGGAGAUGCUCUUACAACUAGGGAUAGAUUGCAAUACAAGAGAUAUGAUAUACCUUGUCUAAUGUCUUCUACUUUAAUGAUUUCUUAAUUCGCACUUUCACUACCUCGUAAUUUAGGCACACACUCUGACACUCAUAUUUAAAUUCAAAGGCCUAACUCGAUGGGCAAGGCUAGGAAAAUUGUAGCCAUCUUAGGCUCAUUAAAGCCACUGCCUAUCCCAUUGUCCGGGGUCUAACCCUACGUGGCAGUUUCUUGUGCCCACCGAUUACUACCCUACAAUGACAUGGCUCCCAAUAUAUAGAGAAUUUUGCGUUGAAAUGUCUUGAUUUAUGAUUGGUAAUUUUUUUGAGCAGGAUCUCCCGCAUUUUCAUUUUUAAUAGAAAUUGUCUUCUUAUAUCUGACAAGGUGAUAUUUACAUUAUAACUACAUACACAAAAUAUAUGUUUUUAAAUAGUAUACGUGGAGGGUCUUCAGUUCAUAUGCUGGGCCCUUCUCGAGUUUGCCAGUCUUUCUGGGUAUAUACAAAUUUUAAAAGGAGUUAAAACCAUGCCGAAUUUUGUACUUAGUAUGCGUCCAAAAUGCAUGUGUGGAUGUUUUUUCUUUACUGCUGGUAUGGAUGGAAAUCAUGUUAUUUUCUGUUACCAGAAUAUUAUCAGUUAUCCUGUAGCUCGCUUACAUGCAUUAAAAAAAUAAUGAGAAGUGCCCCCCCUAUACACUAUUAAGAAGACAACAUGUUACAUAUCAGCCUCACGAAAUGAAUCAACGAGAUUUAAUCUGGCUACAGCCUGAUCUUUUUGCAGUUUCCUACCUCAACGUUUACUUUGUACUACUUUAGUGCCCGUGCGUGGCCACGGAAUAAUAAACUGAGAUGAAGUUACAUUAGUUAAAAUAUCAUUGUAAUUCAUGACGGGUGUGUUUGGUUUGAGUCAUCAGGUGGAACGUAACAGGUCCGUUCCGUCCCCAGGGGUCAUUCCCUUGUUUGGUUGGGUCGAGGAACGAGAACCUACUCGUUCUAGGGAACGGCAUAUUCCCUCUAUAUGCGGAAUGUGCUCGUACCUCCGAUUUGGAGGAACCACGCGGAACCGCUCUUGCACCUCACCUCUCCCCUCGAUUCACUCACCCCAAAGGCCCAAUCCCCAUCUUUAUCUCAGCGCCGCCGCCCGCCUCUCUCCCCCUGUCGAUCUGCCACUAGCGCUGGACUCACAUGGCACCGCCUCUCCCUCCCCGGCGGCGAACUAGGAUCGGGGCGGCGGGCAAGCAGGUAUGACGUCUGGUACCGGCGAGGUGGGCGGCGAGAUGGUCUCCGGCAGCGGCGACUGCGAAGGAAGCCAUGACCCAGCAUGGACUACCUCCGCCCGGAGUUCUUCAUCACGCCUGAAGAGAGCAGGGCAGCUGCAACGCCGCAGCGCAGAUAUUGUUGCCGAUCUGGCCGGGAGUAGAGCAGCGGCUACAACGCAGCAGAAAGCACAGGAGUAGAUCAACGGUGCUGGCAGCAGGGAAGAGGAGUAGCGAUGACAUGCAAGCAAGUCCGGUGAUGAAGGGCAGCAGCAGGGAAGAGGGAGCUGGACAUCUCACCGAUCUGGAUUGGUUUUAGGGACUAAUGUGUGCCGUUCAUCCAGAAGAACCUCACCUCUACUAGUUCUAAGAGUUUUUAAUUAAUUUUGUUUCUAACCUUUUCAUUGGAUGGAAGAAACAGUAGUUCAUCCUGGUUUUGAUUUUCUUCAAUUUUUUCAUCUUUUCAAGAGAGAUGUGAGGUAAAAUUUAGACAUAUUUGUUCAAAAUUGUAUAGUAUUGGUAGUUGACUUCUUGGUAUAUGCCAUGAGUAUAUAUUAAAAUCAAGGAUGUCAUGCAUAUAUGAGAACUUCACCAUUCCUACAAGAGAGAUGAGUUGAAUCAAAUUUGUCUUUGUUCCAUUCCUUCAACCAAACAGUGAGACAGAACCAUUCCAUUCCAUCAUUUGACUGCAACCAAACACAAGAAUGGAAUGGACCCAUUCUAAUGGAAUGGAACCAUGACAUUAGAUUCUACUUGGUUCCUCAACCAAACACACCCGACGUGUGCGUUGUAUGUGGCUUAUGACCGUUGCAACAAUAUCACCUUACACUUGCUUCCACUCGACGAUCACCUCAUGCCACUUGUAUCUCUUUCCUUGCAGAACGCAACACGAUGCAUGUGAAAAUUCAUGUGUAUACAAAUAAUUUAGAUAGUGUUCCAAAAACAUGGAAAUUCCACUUCGCCACAAGAGAUAUAUAUAUACAUAAUUGUCCGGUGUAACUUCGUACUAUCAAACGAAAUCGAGUAUCAAGCAUGUCAAAUACUGAAUAACAAAAUUGGGCAUAACACAUCCAACACGGGUGAUGGAGUGCCUUGACUUAAAUCAAGGAAACACCAUAAGAACUGAUUCUAUAUUCAUGUUUGUCAUCCGUAUAUAAUCUGACAUAACAUUCUGAUUGUAUUAAGUAAAGUGAUUUUCACCAUGAGAACAGAACAAGCACUGAUUCUUUCUUACCAUGAAAUUCAGCCACCAAAUCUAUCCAGUUGCUCUAUACCUCCCUUUCUUUCUCCUGCUUUGAUCCUAAAAGUUGUCCCAGCUCUGCGUCAACAUGAGCAACAGCUCAUUCCACUGUCUGUUUUGCUUUGCUAUCUAGCAGCAAAAAGUAUACCCAAAUCAAAAAUAGAAAUAACCACAUGGACAGAACUAUUUUUUUUCUUGCUGACCAAAUAAGUUUGUUCGUAUCAAACUGUAUGGUUAAGUGGAAGCCCAUUAACCUAUUGUAACAUGUAAACUUUUCAUUUUAACCUCGAGUGUUUAUUUUGCUGGGUUCAUUCUUGCUCACUAUAGUAGUGAUUCUUCAAAACAAACAUAUACAUCCACAUGAGAGCUAUACACUAUAGCCCUGCGUGUGCACAUUUUUAUUUUCUUCUCACGUUCCACCCAGCUAACCAUGUAUGUCCUAAUCUUAGUAUUCCGGAUCGCGGGUCGGUGCCGUGUUCUACGACCCAGGGUUGUCGACCCAAAUCAAAGGUUGGGAUCUACUCUGGGGUCAACGUGGAUCGAUGGCCGGGACGCGAUCCCGGUGGGGAGAGAGGCAGAGAGUGCGAACUGAGGGAAAUGUCGAGAAAUAAUAGAUGAAUACAGAGAACAUCGUCGGACUCGUACCUCCGCAAACCCCCCAUCAUCUGUCUUCCAUCAUUGCUGCAGUUCUUCAUCACCAUGUCCGCCACUGGAGGAUACAGAGAUGUGUAACGAAUUGAUGAGGCGAAGGAGCAAAGGAACUUGCCAUGGAAAGGCAACGGAUGGGUAGCCUUGGCAGCGGUGUGCAACAGCCAAAAGGCAAAAUGAAAAUGAAGGAAGUGGCGGCGGUGGAGAGGAGACUGACAACUAUGGUCCUAACACACAUGGUAGCAAUAAGAAAGGAUAUUCAUUAAUUCAUAUUAUGAAGGUCAGAAAUAGACAUGCAUCGGUGUCCUUCAACAACUUUAGUCAUGUUUCCAUUAGUACAGGAAAUAAAAACAUCAUGUAAGACAGAAACAAGAUAGUCCAGGGCAGCCAUUUGGUUUGUGUGUUAGGGAGCUCUUUAUUUGAUGUAGCUAAUCUUUUUUCACCAUCAUAGUUUAACCUGUAGGCUGUAGCAAUAUAUAUCCGAGUGUUCUUCUAUAGAUGUAAGUACAAUCAUAGUUCAAAAAAGUGCUAGGCGUUAAUUGUGCGUCUUGCCGCCGCCUUGCGCUUUUCUGAUCAAAGCGCAUGCUUAUGCGCAAUUAGGCGUAGAUUAAGCGCAGCUAUGCACUAGGCGUUUUGCUAUCGCCUAGAGCCUAGGCGCACUUAAGCGCUUGCUUAGGCGCGCCUUUUUUAACUAUGAGUACAAUGCGUUGCUACGGAAGAAAGAAAAAUCAAAUUGCAGUGACAAACAACGUGGUAGAAAUAUCCAAUAUGGAGAGGUCAAGCGUACAUCGUAUGUGAAAUCCUUGCUUUUUCUCACGGGUUAAGAAAAUAUUACCACAUGCAACCAGCCUUGUUUUCCUCUGAUUCAAAGAGUCAAACUCUUUGGGACCAUUGUGCACUUUGGAUUCAGAACCAGCAAGGCUACUAGAGAAUCACCAACAAGCUCCAAACUGGAAGCUUCCCCGCAUUACCACUGUCCACUGCCAAAAUUAACCCAUCCUUAUAAAGUGGAGAGCACGAGUACUGUGUCUUGUUCUGUGCAUACUUCCGCUCGAUCCCAUUGGUUCACUUCAUGAUGAUUGAAGUGAUGUUGCUCACGAUGGCGCUCGCCGCAGCGCUGUGCAUCCACUUGGACCCGCCACCUUUCGAGGACUUCUCCGUGGCCGACCUGAAGGCCAC
This 6697-nucleotide long non-coding RNA is filed under the name Triticum aestivum (bread wheat). RNAcentral's name for it is "long non-coding RNA (TAES_LNC008598)". Lineage: Eukaryota; Viridiplantae; Streptophyta; Magnoliopsida; Poales; Poaceae. The record is from RNAcentral.